CGACUCCACUGGGGAUCGAACCCAGAGUCUCUGGUUUCGUAGACCAGCGCCUUAUCCAUUGGGCCAUGGAGUC
This 73-nucleotide transfer RNA is filed under the name Arabis alpina (gray rockcress). RNAcentral's name for it is "tRNA ENSRNAG00050206147". Lineage: Eukaryota; Viridiplantae; Streptophyta; Magnoliopsida; Brassicales; Brassicaceae. The record is from RNAcentral.